AGGCAAUUAGUAUAAAUAAAAUACUUGAUUUCGGCUCAAGAGUUUAUGGUGAAAAUCCAUAGUUACCUA
RNAcentral lists this transfer RNA (69 nucleotides) under Lepidion lepidion (Mediterranean codling). Its description in RNAcentral is "tRNA-Arg". It matches the Rfam family "tRNA". From Rfam's summary of the family: Transfer RNA (tRNA) molecules are approximately 80 nucleotides in length. Lineage: Eukaryota; Metazoa; Chordata; Actinopteri; Gadiformes; Moridae. The record is from RNAcentral.